This 273-nucleotide ribosomal RNA is filed under the name uncultured bacterium. RNAcentral describes it as "partial 16S ribosomal RNA". It matches the Rfam family "Bacterial small subunit ribosomal RNA", at positions 523 to 796 of the family's 1533-position model. The record is from RNAcentral.
ACACGGGGGGGGCAAGCGUUGUCCGGAAUUAUUGGGCGUAAAGGGCGCGUAGGCGGGCUGAUCAGUCCGAGGUGAAAGUUUUCGGCUCAACCGGGAAAUUGCCUUGGAUACUGUCAGUCUUGAGUUCGGAAGAGGGAAGUGGAAUUCCUGGUGUAGCGGUGAAAUGCGUAGAUAUCAGGAAGAACACCGGUGGCGAAGGCGGCUUCCUGGUCCGAAACUGACGCUGAGGCGCGAAAGCGUGGGGAGCGAACAGGAUUAGAAACCCUAGUGUCC